AGUAACCUGCCUUGGAUGGGGAAUAACAGCUGGAAACAGCUGCUAAUACCGCAUAAUGCAGUUGGGUCGCAUGGCUCUGACUGCCAAAGAUUUAUCGCUCUGAGAUGGACUCGCGUCUGAUUAGCUAGUUGGCGGGGUAACGGCCCACCAAGGCGACGAUCAGUAGCCGGACUGAGAGGUUGGCCGGCCACAUUGGGACUGAGACACGGCCCAGACUCCUACGGAAGGCAGCAG
Molecule: ribosomal RNA, 234 nt
Filed under: uncultured bacterium
Lineage: Bacteria
Description: partial 16S ribosomal RNA
Rfam family: Bacterial small subunit ribosomal RNA
Source: RNAcentral